GGUGCUGGGGGGGGGGGACCCAGAGAAGAGACACACCCUCCACCACAUGCAAGUGGCCACAGAGGGAUGAUUUCUGGGAUCCAGCUCAGGUUUUGCACACCUGAUAUUGUACACCUGUGUCUUCUUCCAGGUGUCUAAACUCCUAAAGAUUUUCCUCUUCAAAGAUGGAAAACCAAUACAGUGCUAACAUUUUCAAGAAGCCACAAAUGGAUACAAAAUGAAGGAAAGGCUGAACAAACUCAGAAACUGACUUCAUCAGAUGUGCUGUCUGCCUGGGAGAGCAGAUGGACAGGAGAAGGAGUGAGGUUCAGCGUGGGCCCAGACGUUCUCAUGCAGAAAAGCUUUCACUGCUCUGCUUGGGAAAGCUUGCCUGCCUAUGCUGAGAACAUGGUGUCACGGUUGUUUUCCAAGGAGCAUUGGAAACCCUGCAAUUAAACAACUAGCCUUUGGCUAUAUAUGCUAUGGACUUCCACGGAAAACACAGUAAACAUAUAGUAAUAAAAUUCAUAAACAGUC
Molecule: long non-coding RNA, 516 nt
Organism: Gallus gallus (chicken)
Lineage: Eukaryota; Metazoa; Chordata; Aves; Galliformes; Phasianidae
Exons: 2
Source: RefSeq, a predicted model, not a curated record